Molecule: unclassified non-coding RNA, 378 nt
Filed under: uncultured Microbacteriaceae bacterium
Lineage: Bacteria; Bacillati; Actinomycetota; Actinomycetes; Micrococcales; Microbacteriaceae
Description: contains 16S-23S intergenic spacer region
Source: RNAcentral
UCCGAGUUGACCCCGGCAGUAUCCCAUGAGUUCCCACCAUUACGUGCUGGCAACAUAGAACGAGGGUUGCGCUCGUUGCGGGACUUAACCCAACAUCUCACGACACGAGCUGACGACAACCAUGCACCACCUGUAUACCGACCACAAGGGGGCGACUGUCUCCAGCCGUUUCCGGUAUAUGUCAAGCCUUGGUAAGGUUCUUCGCGUUGCAUCGAAUUAAUCCGCAUGCUCCGCCGCUUGUGCGGGUCCCCGUCAAUUCCUUUGAGUUUUAGCCUUGCGGCCGUACUCCCCAGGCGGGGAACUUAAUGCGUUAGCUGCGUCACGGAGACCGUGGAAAGGCCCCCACAACUAGUUCCCAACGUUUACGGAGUGGACUAC